This 494-nucleotide ribosomal RNA is filed under the name uncultured bacterium. RNAcentral's name for it is "partial 16S ribosomal RNA". It matches the Rfam family "Bacterial small subunit ribosomal RNA", at positions 28 to 507 of the family's 1533-position model. The record is from RNAcentral.
GACGAACGCUGGCGGCGUGCUUAACACAUGCAAGUCGAACGGUGAAGCGCCUUCCUUUUUGGUGGGUGUGGAUGAGUGGCGAACGGGUGAGUAACACGUGAGUAACCUGCCCCCUUCUUCUGGAUAACCGCAUGAAAGUGUGGCUAAUACGGGAUAUUCUGGGUCUGUCGCAUGAUGGGUCUGGGAAAGAUAUUGUUUCGGUGGGGGAUGGGCUCGCGGCCUAUCAGCUUGUUGGUGGGGUGAUGGCCUACCAAGGCGGUGACGGGUAGCCGGCCUGAGAGGGUGGACGGUCACACGGGGACUGAGACACGGCCCAGACUCCUACGGGAGGCAGCAGUGGGGAAUAGUGCACAAUGGGCGCAAGCCUGAUGCAGCGACGCCGCGUGAGGGAUGGAGGCCUUCGGGUUGUGAACCUCUUUCGCCAGUGAAGCAGGCCUGCCUCGUUUGUGGGUGGGUUGACGGUAGCUGGAGAAGAAGCGCCGGCUAACUACGUG